CAGGAAACAGAGAUCAGCCCAGAGUAAGAUAGACUGCGCUUUUGGAAGACCUCUCGACUGCCCACACUUCUCCCUCCUUACUUGUGUCCCCAUCACACCAUUUUACCUCAGCACCCCCAGCCAUUACACCCAAAUGCACUGCCUUUUCGACAUGAACCACCAGACCACAUCAGAGGGAACAAGCAUCAACACUGAACUAAGAACUUUAACCUCCAUGAGUAUGGAGUUCAGCAUGAAGGAGACAGAGUCACCAGAAAAUUCCCAAGAACCCUCCCAGUAUUCCCCACAAUCCCCCUCUUGUUCCACGUACUGCCAAAAGAUCAACCGCUGGACUGAUGAAAAUGAAAAUAUUUUUUAAAAAGACAAAAUGAAAAUAAAGUACAGCAUUUGUGGAUUAUUCCUCUCCACUUUGUCUGGAGUUUUUAAGAAAAUUUUCAAGGGCAUUUGGUCUUUUAAUCUUGAGAUUACUGGUACUUUAUUUUUCUACAGUUUUUCUUACCAUCAGAAUUGGUUAUCAGUACCUUGGAGGUCAAGUGUUUUUUUAACAAUGUGUUCCAAAAAGCAUUAACAAAAGGGAUUGUGGGUGAUUUUUCUUGGGAUUGUACACACUGGGAGUUGAGGAUCCCUAUCAAAUUUUACCACGAGUUUGGUCUCAUUUCUUGUACAGUAAAUAUUUUAUUUUCCCUCUCAAUGUGAAAAAAUAUUUUUUCAAUUCAUGUAUAAAAAAAGAUUGAUUUUACCAAAAGGGGGUACAAUCACUCCUUUCACCUUAUUUAAAGUUCUGACUUAAUCAUUUGUUGAGUGAUUUUUACAUCUUUUGAUUGUUUUAGUUGUUCUUGUUCUUAUUGUUGUUAUAGUGCUUGUGUCACUAGAACAGGGCUUUAUUAGGACCAAGGAGACAGCAGUCUAAUGAAAUGAUCUUUUCUUUAUUUAUUCCCACCUCUGUCUUCUUUUUGUGUGUUUUGCAUUUUAGAUAUACUCAGCACGGUUGUAUGUAUGAUUUUGUAUUGAGAUCAUUCCAGUCAGCAGAUCCAGUUGCAGUUAUUUCUACUAUUUCAUAACAGCAUCUACAGUAUUUCUGCAUAUGUUUCACUUUCUGCUUUUCUACUAAAUGGGCAGUGUGCACUCACCCAGAGUGAGGGAAUUCAAAUGGCAGUGAAUUCAAACAUGAGAAAGAUUAACUAGUUAAAGUUAAGACUCUGUUUGGUUGGUACUUAAGUAGUUGAAAAGAUAAGCACAGGAUGAUAGUUAACACACACUAAAAUACAUAAAUACUGAAUUCUGAAACAUAUACCUGUCCAUGUAUGUUACCAUCAAAGGAUUAUCAGAUGAACAGCACAUGUUGUUUAUUUCUUUCUGUUUACAUAGUUGAUUGCUUUUGAUUGGAUGGCACUGAUGUUUCUUAGCACACUGUGUAGGAAAUUCUAAAAUCUAUAAUCCUGAAUUUACAGUGGUGCUGCCUGAGUUAGUACAUCACUUAAAACCAUGAGUUAGAACAACCUGAUCAAAGCAGCAAAGGAAUUAUCAACACCAUGAAAACAUGACCAGUAGCUGUAAACUUAAAUUAUUCUUUAACAGUCUGUCUUGAUCCCAUCCAUCCAUUUUCAAUCAAAUUGUACCAUGAACAGGAAUUAGCUGAGGACUAAAAGUUUUCACUUCACACCAGUCUCUUCCACACUGAGUGUAGAUGUCAUCAGUUAAACCUGCUGUUUAUUUAUUCACCCAAGUACAUUGCUUUAUGAUAGGAAGUGUAACACAAGUCAUGAUGUCAGUACAAACAGCAGCAUAGCUAGUGAUAAUUGGAAAAAAUAUAUAUUUUGGGUGAAAAAAAUAAAAUAAAUGACUGAUAAAAUAACUAAUGAAAUAUAAUUGUCAGUGCUAAAACAGAAACACCCUCCUUUUUUGUGGUGCCAGUAAGAUCCCUUGCAGCUACCACAUGUUCUUCAGAAAUUAACACUAUUAUAUAAACUGGAGUGGGUUAGUCAUAGUUAGCCAAGCAUAGUAUUUGAAACCAGUUAAGAAAGCGAAUGACAUAUAUAAGACAUUACAAUCUGCAUAAAAAUGUACAUCACAAUGCAGAGGGGCAGAUGUGAUAGCAUUUUGGUCCACAGUGAAUAGAAGAAGACCCAGAAUAGACCCUUGUGGGUCCCCUGUACUAACUUUAAGAGCACCUGUACAUCUUGAGUUUCUCUUGAGAAGUUGUUAAAAACCGUUCAAUGGACUAAACAUCUGAACCUAAAAAGGAUAAUUUUCUUCAGUUGAAUAUGAUUAGUCAGCAGUGUCAAAUGUUUUCAAUAGACUUUAUAAUCGCUCUUUUAUAAUUGAUUUGAUAAUCUCCAACCUAUUACCUUAAUCUGAAAACUGGCGUAAUGCAUGCAUGCAAACGCACUGUAAUACUACAGUGUUAAUAUUGCAUAAAACCAGAAGGCCAGAGUAAACCUCCUGCUUAGUACACACUGCCCAUUCAAAUCAGACACAUAAUUAGUAUGGCACAUGUAAUUUAUAUUUUGUCAAUUUUUAAACACGAUGCUUUUAUAGAACACAAUAUUCUGUACAGUCUUCUCAACAUGUUGUAGUUCUUUUACUGUGCUGUCAUCUUCAUCAUUGCACUCCCUUUUCUCACUGGAAACAAGCAAGCCAACAUUUACAAGUUUUUUCUUAAAUGUGAACCCUCACUUUACCAUCACAGGAAGACAUGUAAUAAAAGAGCACCACGCACAAAAUAAAAACAGAUGUAGACAUUGUAUUUUUUUAUUUUGUUCUGUGUCUAUGCGGUGUUCUCAGUCCUGGUUAUGAUUUCACAGUUUCCAUUUCCACAGGAUAAAACUGUAUAAAAUGGUUGAUUGUGUAUAUAUGUGUAGCUUUCUUAAAAAGGGGAGGGCUCAUCCAAAAAUCAGAAAUCAGGGAAAAGCUGGCAUUACUAAAAUAUGCUGGGGCCCAGAGGAGUCAGCCCUUUUAAGCCACCAGAGUCACCAAGCUUAUUCAACUAUUGUUGAGAGUUUAGAAAUAAUUAGAUAGAAACAACGACAAAAAUGCAGACACAGUAGCCUUUUCAUCAUAUUUAAUAAUGUAAUCCUGGCCCACAAUUUUAUGACUUUGUGCCAGCAACGGACAUGGCAUUAUGUUUUGGCAUUGCCUAUCUGCUUUUUUCAUUCUGAUUAGAAUUUGGUGGUCAAAAGUCAAGGUCACAGCGACCUGACAAAAUGUGUUUUUUUGGCCUCGUGAAUGCAGUAUCUCAGGAACGUCUCCAGGGAAUCCCUCCCUUUGGCACAAACAUUCACUUGGACUCAAAAUUGCUGAUUAGACUUUGGUGGUCAAAGGUCAAAGGUCACAGUGACUGCACAAAACAUGUUUUUGACAAUAACGCAAUAAUUCAUACACUAAUUAACUGGAUUCAUUGGUGAGGACAUACAGCUGCAAGGCAGCCAUUCUAGUCAAUUUUUAGUUUGUUUGAUUUGGAAAUUAUGUGUUCAUACUUAACCUUACAUUUUUUGAUACAGAGUGCACACAUUUUAACAUCUGUUAUAUUAUUCAUUUGUGUGUGUCAGUGUGAUAGGAUGGCAGAGUGUAGUGGAGAGAGAUGGAGGUGUCAAGCUACAAAAUCUGAUUCAAAUAACAGCAUGAUUUGUUGACAUGCAUGGCUUAAAGUUCUCUGUGCUGGAAUGUUGGGGCAGGGCCAGGGUUUCUUUAGAUUAGAAAAUAGAUAAUUGUACUGUAUGUCUGUGGAAAAUAUUCUUGCAUAUAUAUAUAUAGCAAGAAUAUGGCUGUCUAUUUAUGUAUACAGUCAUGAGGAACCCUAUAUUUUUUACUAAUAAAGUAAAACUACUUCAUUAAUAAAAACCUUUGUGUACAUUGUG
Molecule: long non-coding RNA, 3857 nt
Organism: Lates calcarifer (barramundi perch)
Lineage: Eukaryota; Metazoa; Chordata; Actinopteri; Centropomidae
Exons: 2
Source: RefSeq, a predicted model, not a curated record